Molecule: ribosomal RNA, 483 nt
Filed under: Solen sp. CZ-1
Lineage: Eukaryota; Metazoa; Mollusca; Bivalvia; Adapedonta; Solenidae
Description: partial 16S ribosomal RNA
Rfam family: Bacterial large subunit ribosomal RNA
Source: RNAcentral
CGCCUCUUGAUGAAAUAAUAUAGGAGGUUGUACCUGCCCAGUGAUUCUUGAAAAUUGAAUUAAAUGGUUGCAGCUAAAUGCUGUACUAAGGUAGCGUAAUAAUUUGCCUCUUGAUUGGGGGCUAGAAUGAAGGGUUUGACGUAAGAAAAUUUGUCUCCAAAACAAUAGUGUGAAGUUUUCCUCUUAGUGAAAAGCCUAAGAUGUAGUUAAAAGACGAGAAGACCCUGUCGAGCUUGAUAAAAUGUAUAAAUUGAGGUAUAUUAAUAAGUUUAGCUGGGGCAGUUCGGAGCAAUAAAAAAGCUCUGUAUAUAAUGAUAUAGAUCCAACUUAAGUUGAAUGAAGAAAAAGCUACCGCAGGGAUAACAGCGUAAUUUUCUCUGAGAGGACUAAUUGAAGGGAAAGAUUGCGACCUCGAUGUUGGAUUAGAGUUGCUUUCCGGUGCAGCUGUUGGAAUGAGUAAGACUGUUCGUCUUUUAAAACUCU